CGCGGCAUGCAAGAAUGUCGCCGGUAAGGCGAUGGCAACACAGUGAGGAAGCCGGUGUGAAUCCGGCGCGGUCCCGCCACUGUCAUCGGGGAGUGACCCUCAUCGGCCACGGUCCGCACGUGUGGGGCUGGAAGGCGAGGCGAGCAGUGAUCCGAGAGCCAGGAGACUCACGUCAUCGCGUCCUGCGAA
Non-coding RNA from Mycobacterium sp., 189 nucleotides. The record is from Rfam. Lineage: Bacteria; Bacillati; Actinomycetota; Actinomycetes; Mycobacteriales; Mycobacteriaceae.